UUGUAUAAGAGCUAUGCCUAAAACUGAAGUGGAUUAGUGAAACUGGUCAUUUAAAGAGCAUAAUGGAUUUGAAUAUGCAAAACUCCACCAAUACUUUACUUUUAUUCUAAUUUUUGUGUACAUGGUCUUGCUGCUCGAAAACUAAUUCUACUAUCAUCAACAAGUUAUGAGUGUUAUGUGCAUAAGAAGUUAAAUUUGUCUUGUCUAUACAGAUAUCACAUUUGGUUCCAAAUUAGUGCUAUGAUGUAUGCUUUAAGAAGUGAAGAUCAAUACAGUGGCUGAGGGUUGUGUGUGUUGGCUGUGGGGGUUGUAGCUGAGGUGGCAGCGACCAUUGCUAGCUAGAGGUAUUGACAUGCGUUAGCGUGCAACUGGAGCACAGAAGGGCAUGGUCGGAGGCAAGAAAUAAAGGACUCUCUAAAGUGUAGUAUGAAUCUCUCCCUGCAAUAUUAGCUUAAUGCACUUGGUUUUCUAGGUUGCAGAGCAUACUAUUUCUGUUACAUGUUUUACUUCACUAUUUUUUUAAAAAAAUUGGAGAGAUGAUUCCAGUACUCUCUACCAAUGUGAUGUUAGAAUCAAGAUGCAUGUGUCACUCGUUCCAUCAAGUUUAUAAUGAAUUUUCUAUUUUGUUGCUGAUGAUCUGAAAUCCCCGGUUUAUCCUUGCUCAAUGUUGCUUAAUAUACAUUUGUUAUUUUGAGUCUGAUGCAAUAACAAUACAUGGUGUAAACAGGAAACUGAAAGGUGCGCCUCCCACCUGGCACAACCCAGCUUCCUCUUAGGAGGCGCCACAGGGUGCUGACUGUCGGAAUUAAGGAGCAAGAGGAGAUUUUCGCUUUAAUCAGAUCUAGAUUUUUGUGAACCUGAAAAAAAAGAGGUAAAGAUCCAUACUUUUGGAAAAGCUCUGCAUUGGGAUGAGAUGACAGAUGACUUAGAGAUGGGCCUGACAAAAUAAAGGGAAGAGAGUUUAUUUUGACAAAUGGUCAUCUGUUCUCGUUUUUAUUCUGCAAAUGCUGUUGAGAAACCAUCCAAGACUGGUGGGUGUCUUUACAAAAUUAAUGGCCACUAUUUCUGAUCGACGGAGGCGGGGACAGGCGGCGCAUCCCCAUGCCCUUGCCGGGAUUGGGCUCCGGCGUGGGAGGCAGCCUCACCGGCGUCCUCUGCCCCAGGCGCCGCGCAGCUCCCACACCCAGCACCGUCCCUCCACGGCGCAGCCCCUCCGGUCGACCCCACUGGCCGGCGCCGCCGCCACCUAGUCAUCAGUAACGAAACCACAUCAAUCACCUUCACCUACACACAGCAUGUAACUAGGAUGCAGAACACUCAUGCGUACCUGGAGCAUGCCGCGGCAAGGGAUGCGUGGCGUCCGCCAGCAGGAGGAUGAGGGAGGCGGCGACGAGCAACCAGAUGGCUACGCUUCGGCCCAUCAAGCCGCACGCGUGGGCGGAUCACAGUCAGGGACAGCUUCAGCUGGCGAGAUCACAGCUCGAGUGAAGCGACUGCGACGCUGCUCCUUGAGAGACUCUGUGACAGUGUGGCUGUCUCUGCAGGUGUGAGAUUGUGGGAUGUUGGACGUACGGUUAUGUAGUUUUCACUUGAAUCCUCGACCCCGGCCCCGGGGCGUGUUGUGUUGGCAUCGAGGCAUUCGCGUGUGUCCGUUUCGUC
RNAcentral lists this long non-coding RNA (1659 nucleotides) under Hordeum vulgare. RNAcentral describes it as "long non-coding RNA (HVUL_LNC017000)". Lineage: Eukaryota; Viridiplantae; Streptophyta; Magnoliopsida; Poales; Poaceae. The record is from RNAcentral.